Molecule: ribosomal RNA, 497 nt
Filed under: uncultured bacterium
Lineage: Bacteria
Description: partial 16S ribosomal RNA
Rfam family: Bacterial small subunit ribosomal RNA
Source: RNAcentral
GAUGAACGCUGGCGGCGUGCCUAAUACAUGCAAGUCGAGCGAACAGACGAGGAGCUUGCUCCUCUGACGUUAGCGGCGGACGGGAGAGUAACACGUGGAUAACCUACCUAUAAGACUGGGAUAACUUCGGGAAACCGGCGCUAAUACCGGAUAAUAUAUUGAAGCGCAUGGUUCAAUAGUAAAAGACGGCUUUGCUGUCACUAAUAGAUGGAUCCUCGCCGGAUUAGCUAGUUGGUAAGGUAACAGCUUACCAAGGCAACCAUGCGUGUCCGACCUCAUAGGGUGGUCGCCGGCACUGGAACUGAGCCACGGUCCAGACUCCUGCGGGAGGCACCAGUAGGGUAUCUUCCGCAGUGGUCGGAAGCUUGACGGAGCGACGCCGAGUGAGUGGUGAAGAUCUUCGGAUCGUAAUACUCUCUUAUUAGUGAAGAACAGAUGUGUAAUUAACUAUGCACGUCUUGACGGUACCUGAUCAGAAAGCCCCGGCUAACUACGUG